Long non-coding RNA from Dromaius novaehollandiae (emu), 4454 nucleotides. RefSeq lists it as uncharacterized. The transcript has 3 exons. Lineage: Eukaryota; Metazoa; Chordata; Aves; Casuariiformes; Dromaiidae. The record is from RefSeq and is a predicted model, not a curated record.
ACCUGCAUGCAGAGAACUGAAGCACGGUUGCAGUAUUUCAAAUAAUAUGCCUCAGUAGCCGGUGGAAAAAAAAAAACUCUGUGGGUGCUUUUCAGCUCACAGAGUCAAUGUCUUCAGAUGGACAUGAUGUGUUCCUGACUAAGGCAUAUCUUCGUCUUUAAUUGCAAAUGUGAUUAUGGAUAAAAAUUCCCGAAAAUGAAAAGAAGAGGUUAAGAUGAACGACAAGAAUUGCUCACCAUCACUGAGAUUGGCACUGUAUUGCUCACCUGUAUUGUCUUGAUGCUCUGCUCCUGGAUUUGCUGAAACAGGAGGGAUAAAGAUGAUGUCACUUCAAAAUGGAAAAGUGCGAGUCCCACACAAAUGGAAAGCAGAAUUUAAUUCAGAGUAAAAUGUGAUUUUAUUGGAGAUAUUAAUAUUGCAAUAUCACUCAUGCAGUACUUUUCAAGGGUUUUUUUUUUCCCUUGCACUGCGCUUACGAUUAGUUGGGAAUAAACAUACUAACAACUAGAUAUAAAGCAGCAGAUUAAUUCUAAAUUAAUACAAAAACUAUAUACUUACCUGAAAAACAUAUAUAUAAUCCUAACUCAUGGGAAAAAUAUUAAGUUGUACUCAGAUUGAGUCAUAUUCACAGUGGAAUUAAUCCACAAUAGUGGAUUAAACAGAACAAACUACCUUUUGAGUUCAGAAGAGAAUCAUCCUGCUGGCUGAAGUGCACUGAUUGUAGCAAAACAGAAAAAAAAUAUGGGAAAAUAGCCAAUUUAUUAAUACAGAGCAUACCUCUUUUCCUGAGAGAAGAAAAAAAUGGUGAUAACAUUCACAAAUUUAUCCAAAAUUAUUUAUAGCUAAUUUUUACUAAAAUUUUUGGAAAUUUGCCUAUAAUGCCUGACAAAUAUGGAUAAGUAUGGAAUGGAUAAUUACUCCUCAAUAAAGCUUUUUUUUUUUUAUCUGCUAGACAGUAUGUAGAUAAAUAUAGUGGAUCUUUUAAGGUUUGUAGCUGUUAGGAGUGAGGCAAGUACAAAAAAUCAUGAUAUGAAGUAGAAAGGUAAAGAUGCUAAAACGAGAAAAAGAAAUAUGUUUAUUUAACUACCUAAAACUUCUCUUUAGAAAGUCUUAGUGUUAGGGCAAGAGUUAUAUUUACAUUAGAUUUUCAGGAAGUAGUCUGCAAGGAAGAGCUGUAUCUGCUAGACAACAGUUUGAACAAUAGGGCUUAGAAAUACUCUCAGGAAAGAGGAUGCCAAGGAAUUUAUUUCAACAUGCAAUAAUAGUAACUGUACUUCUCUGUAAAGAUGAGACUCAUCUUUUAGUAAGUCUUAUUUUCCAAAAAGGAUAUUUUCGCUACUGGAAAUCUUGUAUUAAACUAUUAGCAAUUUCACUUGAACCAUAUUGCUUUUUGUUGAGUAAGUACAGCCUCCAUCAAUGAGAUAAUAGUCCUGCUUCAUAUUUACAUGAUAGAAAAGGUAGGAAUUGAAUUCUACCUCGGAUGACAGCCCUGGCAUUUCUUUCAUUUUCCUUUGCAAUGAGAACACAUAAUUCGUUCCAGUAAAAAGGGAAAUUUGUUGCAUGAGAAUGAAAGAAAUAUCAUAGCUCCUAAACAGGGGAGUGACCUUUUCUCCAAGAAGCCUCUACUCAAGUUUCGUUUAGAAAAGCUUGAGGCACAUACUGCCUGUAGCAAUGCCCCUCUGGAAACCACCCAGUGAGACGGAGACCAGAAGGGCAUUCGCUUUUAUUCCCAUGCAAGCGGAGCGGCCCCAGGGCGGCAGCUUGCCCUCCUCCCAGCCCCAGUUGGAAGAGAGAAGCAAUCCCAGUGCUAAAACACUCGUGGCAUAGGAGAGAGCACAGCAAAAACCUUCAGGAGGCGGCUGAAGCAAGUAGGGCAGCCACAGCCUCAGGAGGCUGCCACCUCAUUUCCCUGCAAACACACAUGUAGCCCACUUCUCUGGAGAACAGUCGAUAAGGAAAGCAGACAUAUUUAGGAAAAGCACACACUGCCUGUUCUGAAUAAAGGUAAAUAUUCUCUAUUUACUCUCAGUUGAUUAACCAAAUGGCGGUUACAUUUGCUAAACAGCUGCAAAGCAAUUGCCAAUACAAUUAUAAAUAGUUAUCAAGAAACAGAGUAACCUGACCAAAUACAAGCUCUUCUUGCCACAAGCAUUUUUGUGUUAACCACCCGGGAAAUGCAGCUGCUGUUCUGGAGCUGUGGCCUCUUCAAGUGAAUACUAUUAUAUCAAAUUGGAAAUCCAUGCAGAAGUGGAUUUCCAGAGAAGUGCCAAGAAUACAAAGUUACUACCCAUUUAAGAAGAAAAAGGAGCCUUGCAUUUGUAUUCAAGCUUUGCAAAACACUAACUACAAAUAAAAAAAGAGAAAAGCCUAUUAAUACAACAGCAGAGAAAAAAAUGUAGUAUUUUUCAUCUUUCCCGUCAACCCCUCCUCUGCCAAAGGCAAGUAUUUCAACCAUAAGAAGAAGAACAUAUUUCUGUGAAAUUGGUAAAUUCCCUCCUGGGACAAAUUCAUGAAUAUCAGUAUUACUAGAUUCAGACCAGCAUAAAUACAUGUGUUAAUAUCAUUUUUAUCUUUCAAGAGACUAAGGGGCUUGUGCUUGAUGGAAAGCUACAAGUACUGCAGAAACAUCAACACAGGCUCUCCUGUGAUAUGGUUCUUUGCGAUAACAUUCCCAUCAGAUGGAUUUAUGCCAGGAACUUGGAGAUUUAUUUGCACAGUCUUAAGGCAGGGCCACAGAGGAUUUUUGAAAUGUGUCUCCAGGUAACAAUUUGAGACUUGAGCUGUGUAAGAAAGGCAUCGCAGCAUCUUGCUGCCGGGUUGCAACUAGCUAAGAACUUCUGUGCAAACUUUUUGGUUCAAUAAAUACACAGAAUAAAAUAAGAAGUUGACAUUUAGGACAGAAAGUAGGAGUCUUAUCUUCACUUUUCAUUCUACAGCUCUUUAAACUGACAGCAGAACUAAUAUAUUUAACUUAGAUGCUACCCAGUAGGGCAUUAGGAACACUAUAAUAGGAUACUGAAACAAAUAGUGGAUCGAUGUGUACAUUAUUAGGGAUUAUGUAUAUUAUUAAGGAUUAUUGGAAUCGCAGUCAAGAGUGGACUGUUCUGUGCACAGAGUCACUAUGGUGACUGUCCCUACCUGAACGAGUCUGGAAUUUAAAAGAAGUCUGACAAGGGGCCUCACAAGUGUCUUCAAAUACAGAGAAAGGUGCAAGAAGGAAGAAAAUCAAACUCUUGUCCACAUUUGUGUUAGAUGACGAAAGAAAUGGAUCAUACUUGAGCUGAUGUUCAGGAUAGACAUUAGAGAAAUCUUUCUAAAGGAAAGAACAAUGAAGAAAGGAGAUAGAUUACAUUGGCUGUGGAAUCUUUACCAUAGCAGGCUUUUUAAAGAAAGGAUAGAUAUCUUUUAGAAAAGAUAAAACUGAUCCUGACUUGAUCAGAUAUUCAGAUAUUCAGCUAGAGAAUAUUUUGAAGUUCCUUUCAGGCUUAUUUUCGAGUGUUGAGUGUACAUCUAUAAAUACACAUAUGAAAUUGCUAUGUUGAAACCUCAUAUCUGAAAUAUAUAAUAGCACCACGAUAGCAAGCUUAUAGUGAAAGCUUAACAGCAGUGUUUUAGUAAACUUUUUAAAUUAAAAAUUCUAACAGUAAGCAGUACUGUAAAAAUAAUUUUUAGUAUUUUAAAAGGGAUCAUCAGCUUUUCACAUUCAUUGUGAUAUCCAAGAAGAAAAGGCAUUGUCGUAAUUGCAAGCCAGAGAGGAUUUGCAGCUGAGAUCUGAGGGUCUUUGCUUUGUCCACAGUGACAAUUUUGUGGCUUAACUCCCUUCAGUUUGUUUCGGAGAAAUUUAGAGAACUAUACUUUAUUGUACAGAGGAACCUACUUCCCCUUCUUAGGUUUAAAAAAUAAAUGCAGCAAAGUGGACUGAAAAGGAGCAAAAGCUUAUUAUUGCCUGGAAUGCCCAGGGAUGCAACUCAGAACACAUGCCAUGGACAGAAACACUGAUUGACUAGGAUGUACCAUUUUUCGAAGUGACUUUUCAGAGCAGAAAGGGCAAUUCAGACAAAAAUGGUGAAGAAUUGCACUCGAUCUGCUAAACACUGACAUGCAGUAGGAAGGCUCAUCGCAAAGAUUUGCUUGGCAAGAAGCCAGCUGUGUGUAUUCUUAAGCUACCUGUUUCUAACUUCAUGGCCGUAGAAUGUAUUUUUCUCAUGGAUUUUUUCUUACAUCUUCUGCAAAAUGUGGAUACCAAAGUAAUUCCUGUAGUGCUUUCCCUGAAGCUAGUAGAAUUAUGAUAGAUGAAUAAAACUCAUCAAAACAUGGCCUUUGUCUGGGGUAGCUUCCUAAUACACUGUCCUUUGGGGUGGCAUCUAAUAAACAAUACUGCUUCAUGCUAUCUUUGCUUUAAACAGGCUUCUUAUAUAUUUUCACUAAACAAUUAUGGCCUGGUUGCCAGCAGU